RNAcentral lists this transfer RNA (73 nucleotides) under Camelus bactrianus (Bactrian camel). It matches the Rfam family "tRNA". From Rfam's summary of the family: Transfer RNA (tRNA) molecules are approximately 80 nucleotides in length. Their secondary structure includes four short double-helical elements and three loops (D, anti-codon, and T loops). RNAcentral also lists the same sequence under 1 other name. Lineage: Eukaryota; Metazoa; Chordata; Mammalia; Artiodactyla; Camelidae. The record is from Rfam by way of RNAcentral.
GAGAGUAUAGCUCAGUGGUAGAGUGCAUGCUUAGCAAGCCAUGAGGUCCUGGGUUCAAUCCCCAGUGCCUCCA